UCCCCAGUGGCGCAAUUGGUUAGCGCGCGGAUCUUAUAAUGCCGAGGUUGUGAGUUCGAUCCUCACCUGGGGAA
Molecule: transfer RNA, 74 nt
Filed under: Trichonephila inaurata madagascariensis
Lineage: Eukaryota; Metazoa; Arthropoda; Arachnida; Araneae; Nephilidae
Description: tRNA-Ile
Rfam family: tRNA
About the family: Transfer RNA (tRNA) molecules are approximately 80 nucleotides in length.
Source: RNAcentral